GGGGUUGUAGCUUAAUGGUAGAGCACUUGCCUCACAUGUAUGAGGCACUGCGUUUGCUCCUCAGCACCA
This 69-nucleotide transfer RNA is filed under the name Ictidomys tridecemlineatus (thirteen-lined ground squirrel). RNAcentral describes it as "Spermophilus tridecemlineatus (thirteen-lined ground squirrel) tRNA". It matches the Rfam family "tRNA". From Rfam's summary of the family: Transfer RNA (tRNA) molecules are approximately 80 nucleotides in length. Their secondary structure includes four short double-helical elements and three loops (D, anti-codon, and T loops). Lineage: Eukaryota; Metazoa; Chordata; Mammalia; Rodentia; Sciuridae. The record is from Rfam by way of RNAcentral.